This 253-nucleotide ribosomal RNA is filed under the name uncultured bacterium. Its description in RNAcentral is "partial 16S ribosomal RNA". It matches the Rfam family "Bacterial small subunit ribosomal RNA", at positions 524 to 776 of the family's 1533-position model. The record is from RNAcentral.
UACGAAGGGAGCUAGCGUUGUUCGGAAUCACUGGGCGCAAAGUGCACGUAGGCGGAUGUGUCAGUCAGGGGUGAAAUCCCGGAGCUCAACUUCGGAACUGCCUUUGAUACAGCACAUCUGGAGUCCGGAAGAGGUGGGUGGAAUUCCUAGUGUAGAGGUGAAAUUCGUAGAUAUUAGGAAGAACACCGGUGGCGAAGGCGGCCCACUGGUCCGGUACUGACGCUGAGGUGCGAAAGCGUGGGGAGCAAACAGG